Molecule: non-coding RNA, 23 nt
Filed under: Arabidopsis thaliana (thale cress)
Lineage: Eukaryota; Viridiplantae; Streptophyta; Magnoliopsida; Brassicales; Brassicaceae
Source: RNAcentral
UAGACUAUGUGAAACCAUGAAUA